GGUUUAUAACUAACUUAUAUCACAUUUGUGGAGGUUUUCUAACAUAUUUUGUCAUUUUCAAACAUUUUUGAUGAAACAUUCUCGCGUUUUGUCGAAAAGUUUGUUGUAAUUAUUUAUUAAAGGUAUAUUAGCUAGUUAUAAACCUCGGACGAUCAAAGAAAACCGACACAAAUGUGAUAUAAAUAUAUAUAUUUGCCUGCCGCGGCUGAGUUUUGGACCCGCGACCUUAUAGAAUUACCAGAUCGAUUGUCUAUACCAAGUGAGCUACACGGGUAGGACGGAUUGAAGACUGGAAAUUAUGAAAUAUAUGCUGAAUGCCAUAAAUAUACUCGUUUAUAUUAAUGAUCGUCAUAUCAUAUAACCAUGACUACCACUGUACGCGUGCCAGCGUUCAGUCAGCGGUUGGCUACUUGGAAAUACUUCACGUUAAAGCAAUGUCAAUAUUUGGAAAAUACAAUUGUAUGGUUAGAAAGGUGAGGGUCUCUGCAUAAAUGUAUUUCUAGUUAUUAGAAAAGCUUUCCGUUAGAGACCGUCUUUUAGUUUAGCAUAGGUUCUCAUGCCAAGCGGAUAACGCGAAUUUUUAAUUCGAUUUUUUAGAUUUGACAUCAGUCAGUGUACUAUUUGUAAGAAUCCUCUGCAAGAUCCUGUGCAAAUGCCAUGUGAGCAUAUAUGCUGUAUGCCUUGUGGAAAUCGUUGGUUUAAGGAACAUAACGCAUGUCCCGUAUGCAGGAGAGAAGUUGGUGGCAAUUUCAAAAUUAUAAUCAGUAAAAAAUGCAGGUACAGUUAAAAAUAAAUUAUUUUUGUUGAUAUAGUAUAUAGUUGAAGUGGAUCACUGGAU
Molecule: non-coding RNA, 838 nt
Organism: Paramuricea clavata
Lineage: Eukaryota; Metazoa; Cnidaria; Anthozoa; Malacalcyonacea; Plexauridae
Source: the annotation of a GenBank genome assembly